GAUUAACGCUGGCGGCGUGCAUAACACAUGCAAGUCGAACGAUGAAACUUAACUGAUUUCUUCGGAAUGAUUUUAAGUGGAUUAGUGGCGGACGGGUGAGUAACGCGUGAGUAACCUGCCUUGGAGAAGGGGAUGGCCUUUGGAAACGAAGAAUAAUACCCUAUGAUAUGAUAAUAUCUCAUGAUAUUAUCAUCAAAGAUUUAUCGCUCUAAGAUGGACUUGCGUCUGAUUAGUUAGUUGGUGAGGUAACAGCUCACCAAGGCAGCGAUCAGUAGCCGGCUUGAGAGAGUGUACGGCCCCAUUGGGGCUGAGACAAGGCCCAGACUCCUACGGGAGGCAGCAGUGGGGAAAUUUGCACAAUGGGGGAAACCCUGAUGCAGCGACGCCGCGUGAUUUAGAAGGCCUUCGGGUUGUAAAAAUCUUUUGUAUGGGAAGAAAAUGACAGUACCAUACGAAUAAGGACCGGCUAAUUACGUG
This 477-nucleotide ribosomal RNA is filed under the name uncultured bacterium. RNAcentral's name for it is "partial 16S ribosomal RNA". It matches the Rfam family "Bacterial small subunit ribosomal RNA", at positions 28 to 507 of the family's 1533-position model. The record is from RNAcentral.